GAUGAACGCUGGCGGCGUGCUUAACACAUGCAAGUCGAACGGAAAGGCUCCUGCUUGCAGGGGUACUCGAGUGGCGAACGGGUGAGUAACACGUGGGUGAUCUGCCCUGCACUUCGGGAUAAGCCUGGGAAACUGGGUCUAAUACCGGAUAGGACGAUGGUUUGGAUGCCAUUGUGGAAAGUUUUUCGGUGUGGGAUUGGCUCGCGGCCUAUCAGCUUGUUGGUGGGGUAAUGGCCUACCAAGGCGUCGACGGGUAGCCGGCCUGAGAGGGUGUACGGCCAAAUUGGGACUGAGAUACGGCCCAGACGCCUACGGGAGGCAGCAGUGGGGAAUAUUGAACAAUGGGCGCAAGCCUGAUGCAGCGACGCGGCGUGGGGGAUGACGGCCUUCGGGUUGUAAACUCCUUUCGCUAGGGACGAAGCGAAAGUGACGGUACCUGGAGAAGAAGCACCGGCUAACUACGUG
This 465-nucleotide ribosomal RNA is filed under the name uncultured bacterium. Its description in RNAcentral is "partial 16S ribosomal RNA". It matches the Rfam family "Bacterial small subunit ribosomal RNA", at positions 28 to 507 of the family's 1533-position model. The record is from RNAcentral.